AUACGGAGGAUGCAAGCGUUAUCCGGAUUUAUUGGGUUUAAAGGGUGCGUAGGCUGUGCGUUAAGUCAGGGGUGAAAUGCCGUCGCUCAACGACGGAGCUGCCCUUGAUACUGGCGUGCUGGAGUACGGAUGCCGUUGGAGGAAUGAGUGGCGUAGCGGUGAAAUGCUUAGAUAUCACUCAGAACACCGAUUGCGAAGGCAUCUGACGAAUCCGUCACUGACGCUGAGGCACGAAAGCGUGGGGAUAGAACAGGAUUAGAUACCCUGGUAUUCCACGCCGUAAACGAUGAUGACUAACCGUCGGCGAUAGACAGCCGGUGGCCAAGCGAAAGCGAUAAGUCAUCCACCUGGGGAGUACGUCGGCAACGAUGAAACUUAAAGGAAUUGACGGGG
This 393-nucleotide ribosomal RNA is filed under the name uncultured bacterium. RNAcentral's name for it is "partial 16S ribosomal RNA". It matches the Rfam family "Bacterial small subunit ribosomal RNA", at positions 523 to 918 of the family's 1533-position model. The record is from RNAcentral.